This 392-nucleotide ribosomal RNA is filed under the name Salmonella enterica. Its description in RNAcentral is "bacterial SSU rRNA". It matches the Rfam family "Bacterial small subunit ribosomal RNA", at positions 1 to 389 of the family's 1533-position model. Lineage: Bacteria; Pseudomonadati; Pseudomonadota; Gammaproteobacteria; Enterobacterales; Enterobacteriaceae. The record is from RNAcentral.
AAAUUGAAGAGUUUGAUCAUGGCUCAGAUUGAACGCUGGCGGCAGGCCUAACACAUGCAAGUCGAACGGUAACAGGAAGCAGCUUGCUGCUUUGCUGACGAGUGGCGGACGGGUGAGUAAUGUCUGGGAAACUGCCUGAUGGAGGGGGAUAACUACUGGAAACGGUGGCUAAUACCGCAUAAUGUCGCAAGACCAAAGAGGGGGACCUUCGGGCCUCUUGCCAUCAGAUGUGCCCAGAUGGGAUUAGCUAGUUGGUGAGGUAACGGCUCACCAAGGCGACGAUCCCUAGCUGGUCUGAGAGGAUGACCAGCCACACUGGAACUGAGACACGGUCCAGACUCCUACGGGAGGCAGCAGUGGGGAAUAUUGCACAAUGGGCGCAAGCCUGAUGC